GAGACUAUGUGUAUAUGUGUGUUU
RNAcentral lists this small nuclear RNA (24 nucleotides) under Arabidopsis thaliana (thale cress). RNAcentral's name for it is "snRNA_09500". Lineage: Eukaryota; Viridiplantae; Streptophyta; Magnoliopsida; Brassicales; Brassicaceae. The record is from RNAcentral.